AUACGUACCUGGUGGGGGAGAUAUCAUGAUCAUGAAGGUGGUUUUUCCAGGGUGAAGUUUAUCCAUUGCUCUCCAGAUGUGGUGACCCCAGCAAUUUCCCCAAAUCUGGGAAACAUGACUGCAUAAUUUGUGGGUAGUGGGCUACUGUGUUGACGCUUAA
Small nuclear RNA from Phyllostomus discolor (pale spear-nosed bat), 160 nucleotides. RefSeq annotates it as U1 spliceosomal RNA. The transcript has a single exon. NCBI's taxonomy places the organism in Eukaryota, Metazoa, Chordata, Mammalia, Chiroptera, Phyllostomidae. The record is from RefSeq and is a predicted model, not a curated record.